This 86-nucleotide transfer RNA is filed under the name Actinomycetota bacterium. RNAcentral describes it as "tRNA-Ser". It matches the Rfam family "tRNA". Rfam says of the family: Transfer RNA (tRNA) molecules are approximately 80 nucleotides in length. Their secondary structure includes four short double-helical elements and three loops (D, anti-codon, and T loops). The record is from RNAcentral. Lineage: Bacteria; Bacillati; Actinomycetota.
GGAGGGAUGCGAGAGUGGCCGAAUCGGACGGUCUCGAAAACCGUUGUGUCCCUGUGGCACCGUGGGUUCGAAUCCCACUCCCUCCG